UGGGGAAUCUUGGACAAUGGGGGCAACCCUGAUCCAGCCAUGCCGCGUGAGUGAUGAAGGCCUUAAGGUCGUAAAGCUCUUUCGCCUGUGAAGAUAAUGACGGUAGCAGGUAAAGAAACCCCGGCUAACUCCGUGCCAGCAGCCGCGGUAAUACGGAGGGGGUUAGCGUUGUUCGGAAUUACUGGGCGUAAAGCGCACGUAGGCGGACCAGAAAGUUGGGGGUGAAAUCCCGGGGGCUCAACCCCGGAACUGCCUCCAAAACUAUUGGUCUAGAGUUCGAGAGAGGUGAGUGGAAUUCCAAGUGUAGAGGUGAAAAUUCGUAGAUAUUUGGAGGAACACCAGUGGCGAAGGCGGCUCACUGGCUCGAUACUGACGCUGAGGUGCGAAAAGUGUGGGGAGCAAAACAGGAUUAGAUACCCUGGUAGUCCACACCGUAAAACGAUGAAAUGCCAGUCGUCGGGGUAGCAUGCUAUUCGGUGACACACCU
This 487-nucleotide ribosomal RNA is filed under the name uncultured bacterium. Its description in RNAcentral is "bacterial SSU rRNA". It matches the Rfam family "Bacterial small subunit ribosomal RNA", at positions 355 to 853 of the family's 1533-position model. The record is from RNAcentral.